AUUAUGUCAACAGGGCAUUUCAUCACUACUGUAACACAAACUAUUCAGUAAAAAACAUUUUUGCAUAUAGUGUCAAAUGUUAUAACAGCAAAUUACAAAUGUCUCUUUAAAGUAUUCUACUGACCAUUAAGCUUAAACCCAUUUCAAGGAUGUUCAGUUAACAUUACUUAAACGUGUAUGUAGUCAUGCCGAGCAUCACCCGACGAGUAGCUGCUGUAUCACAAUGAAA
This is a long non-coding RNA of Haliotis rubra (blacklip abalone), 229 nucleotides long. RefSeq lists it as uncharacterized. The transcript has 2 exons. The record is from RefSeq and is a predicted model, not a curated record. NCBI's taxonomy places the organism in Eukaryota, Metazoa, Mollusca, Gastropoda, Lepetellida, Haliotidae.